UGGGCGGGGUAUGUAUGUAUGUAUGUAUGUAUGUAUGUAUAUAUAUAUAAAUAAAUACAUACAUACAUACAUACAUACAUACUA
Molecule: microRNA precursor, 84 nt
Filed under: Podarcis lilfordi (Lilford's wall lizard)
Lineage: Eukaryota; Metazoa; Chordata; Lepidosauria; Squamata; Lacertidae
Source: RNAcentral